This 253-nucleotide ribosomal RNA is filed under the name uncultured bacterium. RNAcentral describes it as "partial 16S ribosomal RNA". It matches the Rfam family "Bacterial small subunit ribosomal RNA", at positions 524 to 776 of the family's 1533-position model. The record is from RNAcentral.
UACGUAGGGGGCAAGCGUUGUCCGGAAUCAUUGGGCGUAAAGAGCGUGUAGGCGGCUCGGUAAGUCCGUUCUGAAAGUCCAGGGCUCAACCCUGGGAUGCGGAUGGAUACUGCCGGGCUAGAGUCCGGAAGAGGCGAGUGGAAUUCCUGGUGUAGCGGUGGAAUGCGCAGAUAUCAGGAGGAACACCAAUAGCGAAGGCAGCUCGCUGGGACGGUACUGACGCUGAGACGCGAAAGCUAGGGGAGCGAACAGG